This 253-nucleotide ribosomal RNA is filed under the name uncultured bacterium. Its description in RNAcentral is "partial 16S ribosomal RNA". It matches the Rfam family "Bacterial small subunit ribosomal RNA", at positions 524 to 776 of the family's 1533-position model. The record is from RNAcentral.
UACGGAGGGUGCAAGCGUUGUUCGGAAUCCUUGGGCGUAAAGCGCGUGAAGGCGGCCUGGUAAGUCGGGUGUGAAAUCCCGGGGCUCAAACCCGGAACUGCAUUCGAAACUGACUCGCUAGAGUCCCGGAGAGGAAGGUGGAAUUCCCGGUGGAGAGGUGAAAUUCGUAGAUAUCGGGAGGAACACCAGCGGCGAAGGCGGCCUUCUGGACGGUGACUGACGCUGAGGCGCGAAAGCGUGGUGAGCAAACAGG